Brienomyrus brachyistius is the source of this 1689-nucleotide long non-coding RNA. RefSeq lists it as uncharacterized. The record is from RefSeq and is a predicted model, not a curated record. The transcript has 4 exons. NCBI's taxonomy places the organism in Eukaryota, Metazoa, Chordata, Actinopteri, Osteoglossiformes, Mormyridae.
UGAGCGCUGCCUACCUCGUACUCCUCCAGUUCCUCCACUAGGAUCUGAAAUGAAACAGUACUUUUCUUUACCUCUCUUCUAAAAAAAAAAGUAAUUGGAAUCGCGAUACGUCCGACUGUUUUCCGCUUACCUUGGCAGAUCUUUUACACGGUCCCGACUGGAGAAAUCUAGCAAUAAGGCUUUCACGACAUCGCCUUUUGCUUUGUUAGCGCCCUCCCUCGACGGGCUGCGAACUUGCUGUUAACUCGUCAGCCGCUGGGUGUCGGUGAGGUCAAGGAAUGGACGAUUCAUUAGGAGAAACACCAUAUGAAGAUGGAGUAAGAAGAUGGAUGGAUGUAAGAUCAUGAGGAUAUUUUAAGCCAUUCACAUGUUGGCAGAACAGAAUUGAUGAGUGCGGAUUCCAGUCAUCCAUCAUAAAAUAACUUUUAUAAAAACCCAGGAUACCAGGACCAGCACAUCUUUCAAAAUGAGGAGAAGAACUAUAGGAGCAAGGAUGCAGACCAUUGUGCUUGUCUUACUUGACAUAUAUUAUAUAAAACGAAAUGGUGACAAACUUUGACUACAUUGUGUGUAUUGUUACCAGUUAUGUAUCUUUUGCUCUAGGAUUACAUCUGUAAAUUCCUUGUAUCAGAAAUUGUGUCAUUAUUAGCAUUGCCUUGUAUUUUAAGUGCUAACUGUAAUGCAUGGAAAUAGUUGGAUUAUUUGGUUCCAAAUAAUUGCAUCUCUUCAGUUAUGUAAGUAAUUGUAAGUAAUGUGUAAAUAGUUUAGUGUUCGCUUUGUAACUCCUCAAAAUGGUGAAGGAAAAUUCAAAUAUGUGCUGAAUAUUCUUGUGGUCACUCAAGCUAUUACGAUUCAGAGGAUCAUCGGGGUUCGGGAUGGUCCCUGUGUUGCAAGGACGUGUGCUUUUGUAUUUCAGGUACAACUAUGUACCUAAGGCCCUUCAAUAAAUAGUAUAAUUAUAAAUCGGUACAGACUCUAAAGCUACUGUCCUAAAACAAUUCGUGUUGUAUUUUCUGUUAUUGUACUUUUUUCUUUUUGGUUCACUGAAACAAUACCAAUUUCUAAAUGGUGCAGAAUAAAACUAUAACCUAUACCAACCAGCUUUAACAUUAAAAGCACCUGCCUAAUAUUGUGUAGGACCCCCUUGUGCUGCCAAAACAGCUCUGACCUGUCAAAUCAUGGACUCCAUAAGACCUCUGAAGGCUCUGAUUGGACUUGGUCAUCCAGCAUAUUCCACAGAUGCUCGACUGGAUUGAGAUCUGGGACAUAUUGAGGUCUAGUCAACACCUUAAGCUCUUUCUCAUGUUCUUUAAACCAUUCCUUUAGUGGUGUGGCAGGGUCCAUUAUCCUGCUGGAAGAGACCACUGCUAUUGGGGAAUACUGUUGUCAUGAUGGGAUGUACUUACCUACUUAAACAUUGUUGCAGAUUAAUAUGUGUCAAAGUAGCAUCCACAUGAAUGCCAGGACCCGAGAUUUCCCAGCAAAACAUUGUCUAGGGCAUCACACUGACUCUGCAUCCUGGUGCCAUCUCUGCCCCAGGUAAAGGACCCACAUGCCCCUAGCCAUUCACUAGCAACAGAAAAUGUGACUCAGCAGACCAGGCCACCUUUUUCCAUUGCUCCAUGGUAUAAUUCUGACACUCACAUGCCCAUUGUAGGUGCUUUUGGUGGUGGACAGGGGUCAGCAUGG